This 402-nucleotide ribosomal RNA is filed under the name uncultured bacterium. RNAcentral describes it as "bacterial SSU rRNA". It matches the Rfam family "Bacterial small subunit ribosomal RNA", at positions 355 to 775 of the family's 1533-position model. The record is from RNAcentral.
UGGGGAAUUUUGGGCAAUGGGGGAGACCCUGACCCAGCGACGCCGCGUGAGGGAAGACGGCCUUCGGGUUGUAAACCUCUUUUGUACGGGAAGAUAAUGACGGUACUGUACGAAUAAGUCCCGGCUAACUACGUGCCAGCAGCCGCGGUAAUACGUAGGGGGCGAGCGUUGUCCGGAAUUACUGGGCGUAAAGGGCGCGCAGGCUGCGUUACAAGUCAGCUGUUAAAAUCAUGGGCUUACCCCAUGAGUGCGGUUGAAACUGUAGUGCUCGAGUACUGUAGAGGCAAGCGGAAUUCCCAGUGUAGCGGUGAAAUGCGUAGAUAUUGGGAGGAACACCGGUGGCGUAGGCGGCUUGCUGGACAGUAACUGACGCUGAGGCGCGAAAGCCAGGGGAGCAAACGG